This 76-nucleotide transfer RNA is filed under the name Bacteroides thetaiotaomicron. RNAcentral's name for it is "tRNA-Stop(tta)". The record is from RNAcentral. Lineage: Bacteria; Pseudomonadati; Bacteroidota; Bacteroidia; Bacteroidales; Bacteroidaceae.
CCUUUUAUUGGUUUAAAAGGAAAGCCUCGUUGGUUUUAAACCAACGGGGUCUUGGUUUGAAACCAACUAAACAGUC